Non-coding RNA from Phrynosoma platyrhinos (Desert horned lizard), 72 nucleotides. The record is from the annotation of a GenBank genome assembly. Lineage: Eukaryota; Metazoa; Chordata; Lepidosauria; Squamata; Phrynosomatidae.
GUCAGUGUGGCAUAGUGGUUUAAGCAUUGGACUAUGACUCUGAAGGCUAGGGUUCAAAUCUAAGCUCACCCA